GUAAAUUAUGUCAUCUUAGGACAGUAGAAGUUAGCCCAUUUGUAGAUCCCCCUCUUUCGUGUAUAAGUUCAGCAGGCCGGCGAGAGCAAUCUCUUUUCUGAACACACUGCCCUGUGAAGCGUUCACUCAGACUUCAGCCUCACAGAAACUAUCAAACAGAUUUUCUGCAGAUUUGGACCGAGACACGUCGUGGGACGUCAUCAUUUCACGCGUUUAGGCAAAGCCCUCUUCUCUUCAAGUCACGUGAACAUGAGCACGAACACGUACACGUACAGCUAAAAAGGUCUCACCAACAAACUUCACAUAGCGACAAAUCGUGCAAAAAGAUUUCGGGCAGUUGUGAUUUCGCAAGGUCGAGUAGUUUUCUGCAAAACAAAGCACAAAAAACUUUGCAAAUUGCAUCGCAGAUUUUGAAAGGAAAGAAAAAACAAAACAGCCGCUGCAAAAUCCAGCAUUGUUGGCCGUAACAAUCACCAAAAAAAAAAAAAAACCUCCUGCGAAAUCCUGUACGGACUGAAUAGCACAGACGCAAAUAAGUAAAUAAAAACACGUGUGUUAACAUUAAUUAAUUUUUAUUUAUUUUUAGUAAUGGCUUACUCAGACUUUUAUAAUGAACAUUCCACGUACUAUAUUCGAAGUCUCAUAAUAAACUGAUUAAAUUGUGCAGUUAUUGAACAGAAAAACAGUUGCUAUGAUGAUUUCUGUACGGAGACGUUUAUAUCAUAUUUAUGGAAGGAGUCUCCAGUGUCAGGAAUUUGUAACCGGGGUAAAGCACGAACUUUAAGACUUUCCUGCGUUGGAAAAAUUUAAAUCGAAGGACUUUUUCCAGUUUCUCUGUAACAUGACAAGUUGCGGGUUGUUUUAUUAUUUGUUUAUUAGAUUUUUUUUUUUGCUAGUGAGGAAAUGAUCAUUUAUAGUGAUUUAAAAAGAACGAACUCGUUUCGAAGAUGUUCCACAGCAUUGAAUGUAGC
Molecule: long non-coding RNA, 971 nt
Organism: Ictalurus punctatus (channel catfish)
Lineage: Eukaryota; Metazoa; Chordata; Actinopteri; Siluriformes; Ictaluridae
Source: Ensembl